This 484-nucleotide ribosomal RNA is filed under the name uncultured bacterium. RNAcentral describes it as "partial 16S ribosomal RNA". It matches the Rfam family "Bacterial small subunit ribosomal RNA", at positions 28 to 507 of the family's 1533-position model. The record is from RNAcentral.
AUUGAACGCUGGCGGCAUGCUUUACACAUGCAAGUCGAACGGCAGCGCGGGCUUCGGCCUGGCGGCGAGUGGCGAACGGGUGAGUAAUGCAUCGGAACGUGCCCAGUAGUGGGGGAUAGCCCGGCGAAAGCCGGAUUAAUACCGCAUACGACCUGAGGGUGAAAGCGGGGGACCGAAAGGCCUCGCGCUAUUGGCGCGGCCGAUGUCGGAUUAGCUAGUUGGUGGGGUAAAGGCUUACCAAGGCGACGAUCCGUAGCUGGUCUGAGAGGACGACCAGCCACACUGGGACUGAGACACGGCCCAGACUCCUACGGGAGGCAGCAGUGGGGAAUUUUGGACAAAGGGGGCAACCCUGAUCCAGCCAUGCCGCGUGCGGGAAGAAGGCCUUCGGGUUGUAAACCGCUUUUGUUCGGGAAGAAAUCCUCUGGGCUAAUACCCCGGGGGGAUGACGGUACCGGAAGAAUAAGCACCGGCUAACUACGUG